Molecule: ribosomal RNA, 253 nt
Filed under: uncultured bacterium
Lineage: Bacteria
Description: partial 16S ribosomal RNA
Rfam family: Bacterial small subunit ribosomal RNA
Source: RNAcentral
UACGGAGGGCGCAAGGGUUGUUCGGAAUCACUGGGCGUAAAGCGCGUGUAGGCGGCUUGGCAAGUCGGGUGUGAAAUCCCGAGGCUCAACCUCGGAACUGCACUCGAAACUGCUUGGUUCGAGUCCCGGAGAGGGUGGCGGAAUUCCCGGUGUAGGGGUGAAAUCCGUAGAUAUCGGGAGGAACACCAGUGGCGAAGGCGGCCACCUGGACGGUGACUGACGCUGAGACGCGAAAGCGUGGGGAGCAAACAGG